Long non-coding RNA from Megalobrama amblycephala (Wuchang bream), 981 nucleotides. RefSeq lists it as uncharacterized. The transcript has 3 exons. Lineage: Eukaryota; Metazoa; Chordata; Actinopteri; Cypriniformes; Xenocyprididae. The record is from RefSeq and is a predicted model, not a curated record.
UGUUUCACCUUAUAUUUUUAAUGGGCUAGCAUUUUAUUCUGAACAUAGCUGUAGUUUCACAAGAUCAUUUAGCCUUCAGAUUAGCAGGUCAUGCUAAUUUGAAUCAGGUGUUGUGUUCUCUAUGGGGAAAUGGCACUUUGUAGACUUGUUGCAAGAUGUUGGUUGCUGCUUCAGCGUACUGAUGAAGUCUGGCAUGAACACAGUACCACUUCAACUCAAGGGGGAAUUCCACAAGUGCACAUGCUCAUCGCCACCACAGAACGGAUCCUGUAACAGGAGAUUGGCCACUGCUGCAGGUGCCGCUUCCACUCACGGCAUAGGAAUCCGGUGGCAGACCUCACACAAGGGCGGACGGAGUCUACAGUGGCGCCGCACUGCGACGAGAUCACAGGCUUGGUCAAUCGACUCAUUCUACGGUCAUUUCCCUCAACUCACAAGAAUGUGAGGGUAAGAGUGUAUGUGCGUGUCAUGUACACUCCUCUACUUUUGCUUCUCUGACCCUUCACCCAGUCCUGCAUCCCAUCCGUCUUCACAAACGAGAAUCUGCUAAAAUUGGCCACUUCCACCUUGUCCUCCUGCUGCUUAACAAACCCUCAUCCAUUGACACUCUGUUAUCCCAGACCCUCCAACAUCACAACAAGACCUCCCACGGGAAUUCACCAUCAGUUUUAGUGUAAUUAUCACUCCUAUCUGGACAUUAAAAGGACAUUUCCUCCAUAUACCCUGUUUACACUGAAAAUAACUCUUAAAAAUAUGAUAUAUUUGAAUAAGAUGUCAAGGAAACAGGUGUAAUGUAAUGCCAGGGAACUGCUUGUAUUUAAAUUGCAUUGUCAAAAUUUCACCAAAUCUCAUAGACUCAUAAUAAAUUAUUCCGGGUGUCUUUGUCGUGGCAGAUAGUGAUCAGUGUGAAAGCCUCGUCAGAGUUCUGUUCCCUGAAAUCAAUUUUGAUUGGUGGAGAGGGUCAUGUGUUAUGGUUUGAAU